UUGAAGGUUGGGUAACACUAACUGGAGGACCGAACCGACUAAUGUUGAAAAAUUAGCGGAUGACCUGUGGCUGGGGGUGAAAGGCCAAUCAAACCGGGAGAUAGCUGGUUCUCCCCGAAAGCUAUUUAGGUAGCGCCUCGUGAAUUCAUCUCCGGGGGUAGAGCACUGUUUCGGCUAGGGGGCCAUCCCGGCUUACCAACCCGAUGCAAACUGCGAAUACCGGAGAAUGUUAUCACGGGAGACACACGGCGGGUGCUAACGUCCGUCGUGAAGAGGGAAACAACCCAGACCGCCAGCUAAGGUCCCAAAGUCAUGGUUAAGUGGGAAACGAUGUGGGAAGGCCCAGACAGCCAGGAUGUUGGCUUAGAAGCAGCCAUCAUUUAAAGAAAGCGUAAUAGCUCACUGGUCGAGUCGGCCUGCGCGGAAGAUGUAACGGGGCUAAACCAU
This 447-nucleotide ribosomal RNA is filed under the name Salmonella enterica. RNAcentral's name for it is "partial 23S ribosomal RNA". It matches the Rfam family "Bacterial large subunit ribosomal RNA", at positions 745 to 1190 of the family's 2925-position model. Lineage: Bacteria; Pseudomonadati; Pseudomonadota; Gammaproteobacteria; Enterobacterales; Enterobacteriaceae. RNAcentral also lists the same sequence under 6 other names. The record is from RNAcentral.